RNAcentral lists this ribosomal RNA (305 nucleotides) under uncultured bacterium. Its description in RNAcentral is "bacterial SSU rRNA". It matches the Rfam family "Bacterial small subunit ribosomal RNA", at positions 334 to 632 of the family's 1533-position model. The record is from RNAcentral.
ACCUCCUACGGACGCAGCAGUAGGGAAUCUUCCACAAUGGGCGAAAGCCUGAUGGAGCAACGCCGCGUGGGUGAAGAAGGUCUUCGGAUCGUAAAACCCUGUUGUUAGAGAAGAAAGUGCGUGAGAGUAACUGUUCACGUUUCGACGGUAUCUAACCAGAAAGCCACGGCUAACUACGUGCCAGCAGCCGCGAUAAUACGUAGGUGGCAAGCGUUAUCCGGAUUUCUUGGGCGUAAAGGGAACGCAGGCGGUCUUUUAAGUCUGAUGUGAAAGCCUUCGGCUUAACCCGAGUAUGGCAUUGGAAA